Molecule: long non-coding RNA, 778 nt
Organism: Anolis carolinensis (green anole)
Lineage: Eukaryota; Metazoa; Chordata; Lepidosauria; Squamata; Anolidae
Exons: 4
Source: RefSeq, a predicted model, not a curated record
CUAGCAACAGUCAACCCAUUCAACCCAUUGACAUCACAGACGUUAUGGUACAGACAGAGAGAAAAACAUACAUUCAUACAUACUUACAUACAUACAUACAUACAUACUUUUACUUAUCGAUAGGGCAAGUCUUUCCACAAGAGACCCCAGGAAAAUCACACUGCAAUGGCUCAGACUUACAGCCUCACUGCCUGGUGGGACUGUGAAAUGGGAAGACAUUCUCAACCCAUCUGCAAUAAAUACCAAAAAUGUAAACACACUCCAAAACCCAGCUUGUUUAAGGUUGGCAUAGAUUGGUGAUUAUCUUUCCAGGAAUUCAGAAGAAUGAGAUCUGUUCCUAAACAAGCAACUGAUGGGACACAGAAAAAACAAUCUCCACUUCUGGGAUACAAAGACCAUUGUUCGUUGUUGUUCAGCUUAGCUUGAAAAAGGGAUUGUUGAAAUCCCCGAAUAAAUGUAUUGCUCCCAGCAUGUAAAUCUUUGCUUAUUACUCAUUGCUGCAUGCAAAUUUUCUCUCAACCAGGUGAGAUUACAAACGGGGUGUAUGUGUGUGUGUGUGUAUUGUUCAACGACUUCUCAUAUUUUAAAACUUUUGUGUGAAUAUUUCAGAAGGCAUUCAUCAGCUGAGAAUUUUUAAAAAUAAUGAUGAAAAACACAUUAGAGUUUUGAAUAAGAUGUUAUAGCUGUGCUCAAUAUCCUUUUUCAACCCCCAAAAUCUAGCUUAAAAGCCAGUCAGCCAUCCUGAGUGACAGAAUUCUGUGGUAUCAACAAGUCAAAG